GUAGGUGGCAAGCGUUGUCCGGAAUUAUUGGGCGUAAAGCGCGCGCAGGCGGUCCUUUAAGUCUGAUGUGAAGGGCCCACGGGCUCAACCGUGGAGGGUCAUUGGAAACUGGGGGACUUGAGUACAGAAGAGGAAAGCGGAAUUCCAAGUGUAGCGGUGAGAUGCGUAGAGAUUUGGAGGAACACCAGUGGCGAAGGCGGCUUUCUGGUCUGUAACUGACGCUGAGGCGCGAAAGCGUGGGGAGCAAACAGGAUUAGAUACCCUGGUAGUCCACGCCGUAAACGAUGAGUGCUAAGUGUUAGGGGGUUUCCGCCCCUUAGUGCUGCAGCUAACGCAUUAAGCACUCCGCCUGGGGAGUACGGCCGCAAAGGCUG
This 374-nucleotide ribosomal RNA is filed under the name uncultured organism. RNAcentral describes it as "partial 16S ribosomal RNA". It matches the Rfam family "Bacterial small subunit ribosomal RNA", at positions 527 to 896 of the family's 1533-position model. The record is from RNAcentral.